Molecule: ribosomal RNA, 459 nt
Filed under: uncultured bacterium
Lineage: Bacteria
Description: partial 16S ribosomal RNA
Rfam family: Bacterial small subunit ribosomal RNA
Source: RNAcentral
CCUACGGGUGGCUGCAGUGAGGAAUAUUGGUCAAUGGGCGGGAGCCUGAACCAGCCAAGUCGCGUGAAGGAAGAAGGUACUUAGUAUUGUAAACUUCUUUUGUCAAGGGACAAAAUCAGGCUCGAGAGCCUGACCGAGGGUACUUGAAGAAAAAGCAUCGGCUACCUCCGUGCCAGCAGCCGCGGUAAUACGGAGGAUGCGAGCGUUAUCCGGAUUUAUUGGGUUAAAAGGGUGCGUAGGCGGACUGUUAAGUCAGCGGUAACAGCCCGGGGCUCAACCCCGGCGAGCCUUUGAAACUGGCUGUCUUGAGAUGUCGAGAGGUAUGCGGAAUGCGCAGUGUAGCGGUGAAAUGCUUAGAUAUUGCGCAGAACUCCGAUUGCGAAGGCAGCAUACCGGCGGCGAUCUGACGCUGAGGCACGAAAGCGUGGGUAUCGAACAGGAUUAGAUACCCCGGUAGUC